Non-coding RNA from Misgurnus anguillicaudatus (oriental weatherfish), 1848 nucleotides. NCBI's taxonomy places the organism in Eukaryota, Metazoa, Chordata, Actinopteri, Cypriniformes, Cobitidae. The record is from RefSeq and is a predicted model, not a curated record.
AUUGUUGAUUACACAGCAAAAUCACCAGUGUUAAAUUUUCAGGGAUGGUGUUAAAUACACAGUGUUGAUGCUGUUUUAACACUAUCUGGUAAUAAAAUAACACUGCCAUUGCUAGGCCAGUGUUAUAUCCAUGACAGUGUCAGUGUAAAACAAGGGUGUUAUCAGAUUUCACUCUGAGCGGUGUAAAUCAAGCCACGCCUCCACUAAACAUUUCCUGUCAGGGAUUUUACCGCCAUUUUCUUUCAAAGGAGGACUGAAGAGAGCAGGUAAAUCUCAUAAUAUUCACUUGGUUUAGCUAAAUUAAACUGUUAUUUCUCUGUCUGACUCUACGCAGCCAUAUGCCAAAAAACCUAAAUAAGAUAUUUUUCCCAUUUUAUUUCCCGUUUGUUCGUUAUUUGGUUCAGUUUAAUCAGAGCUACCUUGUGUUACGUUGUUCCCUUGUUAGUUUGGUAUAAAGUUAAACUUCUAGCUAAAAGUUUUAACCAAGAAGGAUAAUAUUAACAGGAGAUAUGAAUGAAUGUAAGAAUUGAACCCUGAUAAAACGCGACAUGCACUACAAAUUGAAGGUAUGAAAUUAAGUUAAAUGAAAGCUCGUUUAUUCACCAUAUGAUGCUCGUUAUGAGGUAAUCAUAUAGGCUAGAUACCGCGAGUUAACGAGGUCGUUUACAUGCACGUGAGUGCACGGAUAUCGGUUAAUUAUUCAAAUUACUGAAAAACACGGAGAAAACCGCAACCGCAUCGUCAUGUGUUUUUUUUUUUAGAUGUAUGCAAACAGGGAAAAUAUCGCCAAACCAACAAUUAAUUUUACCUCAGAAUAUGCACAGAUUGGAUGCAUUGUGUGUUGUAAGCUUUUCGUGGCGCUAGAUGUCAGACAGAUGCAAAUAGCAAAUACAUACGAAAGUGUAAAACGUGUAUGGCAAACAUUUGUUUUUCUGUCAUUAUAGAUGCUAGUUUGGUGAAAGUACACACUGAGUGCUUCAAAUCAUUUAGAAGAAGAGAUGCUGUUUUUAGGGCAGUUUAUUAAAGAAGACCUGACAUGGAUGACUUCCAAUUAGAAACGACUGCUAAUACUUACAUAAAUUCAUUACAGAAGGACCCUACCAGACUAUAUUUGAAUACGGCAUAGGCCUACCCAUGAAUUCUGGAAGUUUUAUUCCUUAACCCAGUUUGGAGGAUAAGAGCUUACCAACUAUAAAUAUGCUGAGGCGAUGUAUUGCAAAAUAGCCAACAUACAACAAUUAAAGGAUAAUUGCAGCCUAUAUCCUUAUGAAGAUAUGGAUGACCCUCUGUCUGGUCAACAGGAGUUUAAAUAUGGACGGGACAGUGAUGUGGCAGCUCUUCCCUGACUCAUUCACCUCUUGCCUUCAUUUGUGAAAGGAGGAAAGACUGGAGAGGGUCAAUGUGCAACUGAAGCUACUGAUUGUGCUGUGUGAUGAGCAUCAAUCCAUGCUUUGAGGUGGAUGGAUCAGCACAGCCCUGCCUGCUCUGCGUUGGGAACAAAAGUUGCAUCCAGAAUUUUUGCAUCAUUCUGGACCAAAAAGCCAUUCCCUGCAUGAUGAAGACCACUGAUGCAGCCUUCCACUACUGUACAGUAAAACAACUACAGAACUAAAUACCAGGUUGGAACGUGUUUAAGAAAAAUGAAACGUCUUUUGAAUUGAAAUGUCUGUUUUGUUAUGGAAAAAUCUUUAGUAUUGUGAAGGAUAAGCAUUUCUGCUUGCCGAUAAGGUAAUUGCAUGUAUUUUAAUGUUCAAGUUUUGAGUAGGGUGGCUAAUUUUUUUAACUCUUAUUUGAUUUAUUAAAGACUUUAUAAUAAGUGGUUUUCAUGUCGCUGCACUGUGGCAUAAG